CCUACGGGUGGCUGCAGUAGGGAAUAUUGCGCAAUGGGGGAAACCCUGACGCAGCGACGCCGCGUGAGUGAUGAAGGCCUUAGGGUCGUAAAGCUCUGUUGUACGGGAAGAAAAAAAUGACGGUACCGUAUAAGAAAGGACCGGCUAACUUCGUGCCAGCAGCCGCGGUAAGACGAGGGGUCCUAGCGUUGUUCGGAAUCAUUGGGCGUAAAGCGUGUGUAGGCUGCCAUGUAAGUCAGUUGUGAAAGCCCCGGGCUCAACCCGGGAAGUGCUUC
RNAcentral lists this ribosomal RNA (275 nucleotides) under uncultured bacterium. RNAcentral describes it as "partial 16S ribosomal RNA". It matches the Rfam family "Bacterial small subunit ribosomal RNA", at positions 338 to 627 of the family's 1533-position model. The record is from RNAcentral.